RNAcentral lists this long non-coding RNA (2146 nucleotides) under Cervus hanglu yarkandensis (Yarkand deer). RNAcentral describes it as "lncRNA (ENSCHYG00000021524.1)". Lineage: Eukaryota; Metazoa; Chordata; Mammalia; Artiodactyla; Cervidae. The record is from RNAcentral.
CUCUAGAAUAUGCUUGUUCUAAUCAAGAUGAUGUCAAACUGUAAUAGAUUUUACUUAGUUGCUUGCCAUUUUCCUCGUUUGUCUUUUAAAUACCAACUUGACCAACCUGAUCAAGUCAGUGGGCAGUGUUAAGGUUUCUAUGCAGAAGAUGGGGAACACCAAGAGGGCUGCAGAAUGAAAACCAAAGUCCUCCCUGAAAUUUGCUACUUGCUCGUAACUCACAGAAAGACAAAAAUUACAAAUAAAACAUUAAAAAUAAAAAUCAAGAGAGACUCGUGAAACCAACACAAGACAAAACCCUCACCGGGCAAAAGCUGCAACUUCAUGGAAAAUAAGUUGGAGGUGGGGGGGACGAGGGGGGUCCGGAGCUGAGCGGGGCUCUUGUGCAAUCACUCCAAGGCGAACAGCUGGAGCGCCAAGCUGCCGCGCUCGCCACCUCUGGAGCACCGCUGGCCUGGCGGGGAGCCCGGCCUCGCCAACACGACUCCGGGCCGGCCUUUCCGAACAAUGGGCAGGCGCUCUGCGAAGGCCGCCCCUCAGACAGCUAUCUUUUCAGCAGGGCUUGCCCGGGUCUGCUUAAACUGGGAAGUGAAGCAUGCAAAGGCUGAGAGGGAGGCGGAGGCAACCGAGAGGAGCAAGCAGGGACAGGCGAGGCGAGCCGGCCGUCAAAAACGGAGACCGAGGCUGAGCUCAAGAUCACACUAGGAAAUGACUGAUCCAGAAAAACGUCUUCAGUUGGCCAACUUCCAGACAGGUGAGGUCUGCUGCCACCUACUCCAUACUCUGCUCUUCUCUGCUCAGCGCUUCUAUCACUUUUUCUGGGGAAAAGAGAAUAUGCAGAUACAGUAAAUAAUCCUAACUUCUACUUUAUUCUGAUUUACACCUGGAUGUUAUCGGAAUUAAAAUAUCCAUGACCAGUACUCAACCUCUCAAAAAUGACAUACUACACUGUAAUAUUCUCAAACCAAAUAUGGUAUUCAGUGAAUGGUUACAGAGAAUUGAUAUCUAUGUUUUGACCCACCUCCUUUGAGAAACAUUACAUGUUGUAAGAAACAUUUUUCUUUCACAGAAAAAUUGUCUCCAACGUGCUGUUGAGCCAUAAGUUAUGUCUUUAUUACAUCCCAGAGGGAAGAAGUUGAGUGGAAAAGAUUCCACAGUUUAACUAUGAGAGGACGUUACACAUUUCAGUGGAAGAAAAAAAUUUUCAUCAAAAGCUAAGUAGAUAAAUUAAAGAUGCUAUAAUAAGUCUUGGGAUAUAGGCUGUGCAUUUGUUUUGCUUUGUUUUUAAAAUCAAUUAAAGAUACUAAAUCUGUAUACCAGAUGCUGAAGUAGGACUCACUCAACUCAGUUUUGCCUUUCCCAUCUGAAGUCAGUCAGUCUUUAGGGUAGCUGAUUGCUUUUGGAGUCUGGAGGUGAGGGAGAGCUGGCAGGGACAGACGGAAGAGAAGAGAGAAGAUCCAGGGACAGUGACUGCAGACUCCCUGAGGAAGUCUCGGGAUGUACAAUAUGGGAAAGUGCCAAAAUCCUAAGCUAGAAAACAAAGCAAAACCAAACCAAACCCCAGCAUGGGGAAAUAAAAGGAAGUUCUACACUGAACAGAGUGCACAGAAGCAUCUCUUUAUGUGAAGAGCAGUAGAGUUUUGUGGCCUGAACACACAAUUACAUAGAAUUUAGUAAUACAAAAGCUACUAUUUAUUGAAUGCUUUUUAACAAAUAGGACUUUAAUAAGUAGUACUGUGCUUAAUAUCUUACAGAGAUUAUUUUAUUCGAUCCUCACACAGUUGACACAAUUAUAGACUGUGUUCCAUUUUGCAGAUGAGGAAAUGGAAACAUUAAUCAGUUGCCUACUAAGUGGGCCAACAAUCUGACUGGAAUCUAGAAUUCUUCCUCCCCCUUGCAAUAUCAAUGGUUUUGAUGAGGGUUCUUGCUUGCAAGCAACAAAAUGAACUCUGGUUAUCUAAAGGAAACAAAAAUGUUGAAGGAAAGGGGGCUCAUAGACUCUGAGAGGCUGGAAGAACAGGCUUAGGAAACAAGGAAGAACCCAGGGCCUAAGGAGGCCAGGCCAUAGGAACACUCUAUCCAAGAUGACACCAUCUCUGCUUCUGCUGCACCACACCUUCUAGAAAUGACUACUGGACAUCAUGCU